RNAcentral lists this ribosomal RNA (557 nucleotides) under Penicillium sp. HK83. Its description in RNAcentral is "eukaryotic LSU rRNA". The stretch from base 230 to 380 matches the Rfam family "5.8S ribosomal RNA". The record is from RNAcentral. Lineage: Eukaryota; Fungi; Ascomycota; Eurotiomycetes; Eurotiales; Aspergillaceae.
GAAGUAAAAGUCGUAACAAGGUUUCCGUAGGUGAACCUGCGGAAGGAUCAUUACCGAGUGAGGGCCCUCUGGGUCCAACCUCCCACCCGUGUUUAUUUUACCUUGUUGCUUCGGCGGGCCCGCCUUAACUGGCCGCCGGGGGGCUUACGCCCCCGGGCCCGCGCCCGCCGAAGACACCCUCGAACUCUGUCUGAAGAUUGUAGUCUGAGUGAAAAUAUAAAUUAUUUAAAACUUUCAACAACGGAUCUCUUGGUUCCGGCAUCGAUGAAGAACGCAGCGAAAUGCGAUACGUAAUGUGAAUUGCAAAUUCAGUGAAUCAUCGAGUCUUUGAACGCACAUUGCGCCCCCUGGUUUCCGGGGGCGUGCCUGUCCGAGCGUCAUUGCUGCCCUCAGCGCGGCUUGUUGUUGGGCCCCGUCCUCCGACCCGGGGACGGGCCCGAGGGCAGCGGCGGCCCGCGUCCGUCCUCGAGCGUAUGGGCUUUCACCGUUCUGUAGGCCCGGCCCGGCGCUGCCGAUCCAACCCAAAUUUUUCCCAGGUGACCUUCGGAUCAGGUAGG